UAGGGAAUCUUCGGCAAUGGGGGGAACCCUGACCGAGCAACGCCGCGUGAGUGAAGAAGGUUUUCGGAUCGUAAAGCUCUGUUGUUAAGGAAGAACGAGUGUGAGAAUGGAAAGUUCAUACUGUGACGGUACUUAACCAGAAAGGGACGGCUAACUACGUGCCAGCAGCCGCGGUAAUACGUAGGUCCCGAGCGUUGUCCGGAUUUAUUGGGCGUAAAGCGAGCGCAGGCGGUUAGAAAAGUCUGAAGUGAAAGGCAGUGGCUCAACCAUUGUAGGCUUUGGAAACUGUUUAACUUGAGUGCAGAAGGGGAGAGGGGAAUUCCAUGUGUAGCGGUGAAAUGCGUAGAUAUAUGGAGGAACACCGGUGGCGAAAGCGGCUCUCUGGUCUGUAACUGACGCUGAGGCUCGAAAGCGUGGGGAGCGAACAGG
RNAcentral lists this ribosomal RNA (429 nucleotides) under Bacteroidota bacterium. RNAcentral describes it as "Bacteroidetes bacterium partial 16S ribosomal RNA". It matches the Rfam family "Bacterial small subunit ribosomal RNA", at positions 355 to 776 of the family's 1533-position model. Lineage: Bacteria; Pseudomonadati; Bacteroidota. The record is from RNAcentral.